Molecule: microRNA, 22 nt
Filed under: Drosophila erecta
Lineage: Eukaryota; Metazoa; Arthropoda; Insecta; Diptera; Drosophilidae
Description: der-miR-973-5p
Gene: der-miR-973-5p
Source: miRBase by way of RNAcentral
CGUGGUUGGUGGCUGAACUUAG